CAGAAUAAACGAUCUCUGGCCUGGACAACAGAUAAUCGCUGUCUCCUCUCUGAUUCACAGCCUAAGAGCAGCCACAUCGAUCCACCACCAUCCCUGGGAUCUUGCCAUGGAUAAUCUGCUGCUUGUCGUUGAAGUAAAGCAUGUUAAUCGGGGACAUCUUGGUCGGGGUGCAGCAGGGCCCUGCGGAGCCGCGCGGGUUGGCAUGCUGAACCAGGUUGUAUCUCUUCUGGUGUUUUUCACACCACUUCAAGCCACGUCUACAAGCUAUUGCUCGACAGGUCUCUCCAGAGACUUCUCCACAGUCUUCCACUAAAGCUUCAGCAUCCUCAGCCAUCAUUUGCCUGCUUGCUCUCCAACCCACCUCGUUCAGAUCACAAGCCUUCAUCAACUUCCCUCUCAGCGAAACUCAUCUUAAAAUGAAACCUCACAAAAAGACGCCUGCACUAUUGGAUUAAUACCAGGACCUUGACAAUCUCCACUAAUCAUCCAACGUUGACAAACUCAGUAAGCCACUCUCUGUGUAAUAACCUGCAUUUCAUGCCGUAGCUCCGGCUUUAUCUAUCGUUCCUCUUUUUCCCCAGACACUGUCGAAGCACGUUGUAGAAGUCACCCUGUUGCAUUUGCACCCGGGUUAAAAAUAAAUGUUUUAAGAUUGA
Long non-coding RNA from Girardinichthys multiradiatus, 656 nucleotides. RefSeq lists it as uncharacterized. The transcript is spliced from 3 exons. The record is from RefSeq and is a predicted model, not a curated record. NCBI's taxonomy places the organism in Eukaryota, Metazoa, Chordata, Actinopteri, Cyprinodontiformes, Goodeidae.